UUUAAUUUUCACAUAUUAAAAAAGUAAUACUUCUCACUCACACCAAUUAGAAGUAUUUGGAACUUCCUCCCAUCGCUCUCUCACCCCCAAUUUCUCAAACCCUAUUUUAUGCAAUCUCCCUCUUUCCCGCUCACCAACCUAGACCAAAUCAUUGGCAUGUAUCGCCGGAUCAUCGUCGACUCCUUCUUAUCUCAUCUGAUGUUUUCCUUCCUUCCCCUCUUCUCGCCAUCGAGACUGUAGCGUCAAUAGGGAAGAAAUUACAAAGCUUCUGGUCUCCGGAUGCUUGCAAUGCGUUCUUUUGCCCUGUUGCGCCUUUGAUGAUGUCAAUUCCCAUCUCCAAACAAGGUUCAGCUAGGAGCCUGAGCCCAUGAGCUGGGAUAUUACACGAAAGGACUUGGUUCUUGCUUGCUAGACAUGUACAAAGAGGCCUAUGAAAAGUAUGUGGAACAUCAUAUUUCUUGUGCUUUACCUUCUUUUCUUAACUUUGUCGGCUGGGUCUUUGCAUAGUCAGUUUGAUUAUAAUUUACAACAUUUAUGAGAGUAUGACUUAGAUUGUUGGCUAUAAAAGCUCUUAUUAGUACAACCUUCUGAAGACAAGCACAAUAUUUCUUUUCUUGUUUCUACAUAUUAAUCUUUGUUUAGAUCAGUCAUACAAAUCUAAUUGAAGUUUGUCGACUUUCUAUAAUGAUUGUUACUGUCUAUAAUAAUGUGUUUCAAAUGCUUGGUAUAACUUUAAUGUUGAUGAAUCUACUACAAUGUGCACGUUAGAGAUGUAACAUGUAAAAUAAUCAGAUUACUGCUACAUUAACUGCCCUUAUGUCCUUGAUCUCUUUAUAGACAUGAAACUUGAGGAUAUAUUUGAUACUUAGUUGAGGUUCAAUAGUUUUCUUGAGGUGUGUGGAGAGAAAAUACUAUGACAUAAUCUCUAAUGUGAAUGUUACGUGUCCUACGGAAGGUAAAAGCAAUCUUUUCCUAUUCAAGGUGUUCACGCAUGAUUGAUGAUGAUGAACAUAUAUUGUAGAAGGCCAUAUGGCACCAGAUUUGUGGAUCUCCAUCGAUCGAGUCAGAAAGAUCAUUGUACAUGUGCCAAUUAGUAACCAGUGUUUAGAUCAACUAUGGUGUUAUUUUUGGGUCUUAUGUUGAAUAAUUAUUUGAAGCUUUAGUACAUUUGAUGUUGUAAUUGUGGAGUACUUGUAUUUUUUAUACAAUAUCUUUUAUGUUUAAUUUUUUA
Molecule: non-coding RNA, 1231 nt
Organism: Nicotiana tabacum (common tobacco)
Lineage: Eukaryota; Viridiplantae; Streptophyta; Magnoliopsida; Solanales; Solanaceae
Source: RefSeq, a predicted model, not a curated record